AUAUAAUCAUUAUCUUAUUUUUUAUUUUAAAAGUACAUAUUGUUUUAUUGAGCAUGUGUGUGUAUAUAUAUAUAUUUAUUAAUAUGGCAACUGAUUUGGUUUUCCAUUCGUUUUCCUCUACUACAAUUUACAAUAGUGAUGUAAUUUUUUUUUUUUUUUUUUUUUAGACAGGGUCUCACUUUAUUACCCAGGCUGGAGUGUAAUGGCGUGAAAAUGGUUUGCUGCAGGCUCAACGUCCCAGGCUCAAGUGAUCUUCCCACCUAAAGUAGCUGAUAUUUCAGGCAUGUGCCACCAAGCCUGGUUAAUUUUUUUUUUUUUUUUAAUUUUUGCAGAGAUGGAUGUCUCACCAUAUUGACCAGGCUGGCCUCAAACUCCCAAGCUCAAGAGAUCCGCCUGCCUCCUCCUUCCAAGGAGCUUAGAAGCACUUUGCUGUUGUGCUUAACAUCACUCAAGAGGGCACAGUCUUCAAGAGGAACCACUUCCUUUCUUUGUCAACAAAGACUGCCAUAUCAAAAGAGGAUGGACUUUAAGAAACAUUCAAUCAACUCUCCCUUACUGGUUCUCUGAGAAGUUAUUUUAGAGGGUCUACCACUUUUUCAUGACUUCAUGAAAUUCCAGAAGGAUGAAGUUCAAUCAGGUCAUCAUUAUAUAACAACCAAUAGAAGUUUAUCAGUUUUUCUCCCCUGAUAUAAACCCUUUUAUGGAUAGUAAAUAAUUUGAGAGAUAGUUUUUUGUUAUCUUUUCAGGGAUACUAAAUGAGGAAAAUUUAAAUUGUUACAACUAGAAAUACAAUAUGACAAAGAAAAGAUUUAUUUGUAAUUCUGUACUUUUGGGAAAAAAAGUAUAAAGAACAGAUCAGUGCAUAGCAAGGAUAAAUCAAAAGCACAUCACUUUCAAGUAGAUACAUGUGACUUCUCAGGAAGAGACUGGCAAGCUGAAAAUGAAAUAAUACGUGGUAAGGAUGAUAUUACAAGUGAAAAAAGCCAUUGUUGGUGAAAGAAUGCCAAGUUCUUUAAAUACUUACUCGUAAAAACAUAUCAUUUUGGAGGAUAUAUUAAUUUACAACUUAUUUAAUAUUUCAGUACGUUACACUGAAGCUCUUUUUCACAAUUAUUAUUUCUGUUCAAGCCCGCUGUCAGAAAUAAAAGAAGGACUUUUUUUUAUUAUUAUUAUUUUUACUUUUUAAGCAUAGGAAAAAAAAUCUGUAUCAAGGUAAUCAAAUCCAUUGCUCUUGGAGUUUUUUUGGGGGUAGACUUAUCAAAUUCUCAAAGAAAAUUUUCCUAGAACUAAUGGAAUUAGGUUACCUUUGAAUUCUCACCCCAACUUUGAAUAGUGACUAAUUCCUUUCUUUGCUCUUUUGGUGUUUGCAAAGGGGUUCGCAAAAGCCUGAAUUGAUAUAAUUAUUGGCUAGAUUGUUAGAGAUCUAGGCCAGAUGGCUAUGGGUUUCUAAAGUCCCCCUUGCUUGUGGUAGUUUUCCUAGUUUGCCUAUAGGGUUUGGGGAUCAGCAAUUUGAAAGGGCUACAAACUUGUAAAACAGUAUUAUUCAUGGGGGCAGAAUGUUCAUCAGCGUGACCCAGUACUAAAUACAUUCAUUAUAGGCAUUUCUAUUCUGCACAAUUUGCCACACAGCACUGGUUUCAGGAGGGGGAAAAAAAGACAAUGGCUUAUAAAAUGCUUUCGAAUGCCUAAAAAGAAGGAGAAUUCACGCUGAGACUCCUCUGCUUUCUUUUUUGGAAAGAGCCUUCUUAGUGACUUUAGCUGAGCUCUGCUGAGAGUAAGCAAAGUGGAAAAAUCAGAAAAUUACUUUUUUUAUAUGUUUCUGGGGGGCAAAAUAGAGUGGGGAAAAAAAUGGUAAGAAGUGACAAUGAGAUUAUGUGAAACAGCAACUAUGCGAGCGGAUGAAGACAGCUGAGGAAUAAUGCAAAAGGUAUGAAAAAAAAAAAAAAAAAAAAAAACCAGCAAGAAUGGAGCCACGAUGAUACACUUAAAAGGAAUUGCAGAGCAGAAAGAACAUCAUAAAUAAUCUUAUUUUCAAAUAAGAAUAUCAUAUCAGUUUCUGUGACCUGGAUAGAGCACAAGCCUCCCAUGAUACUUCCUAGCAUUUUGAUGCACACAAAAUGCAAUUUUCAGCUCAGGCAUUUGAUUUAUCAGUGUAAACAAGCUUUGGGGUUUUUAAAAUACGUAUCUGAAGUGUUUUCAUAAAUAAUGCAUAUAUUAUAAAAAUUUGACUUGUAAACUAUUGAGUCCAUGUCCCCCCAGUAUUCACUGCGAAGACUAGCCAUGUAUAGGCAGUGCCUUUUGGUAGAAAUUGGCAUGCUAAAGCUUGCAGUGUCUUUUACCCAAGAUAAAUAGGAUUUUUUUUUUGAAGUACAGGACAAAGAAAUAUUACAGUUUUGCCCAAACUCAAGGAAAGAAGUCAUUCAAGGUAGAGCUAUAUUGUUAAUUAGUUCCAAAUUCUGAGGUGCUCCUUUAAGUCUUGCCAAUUAAGAGUAAUCAAGAGUGCAAGAUAGCCCUUUUCUUAUCUUCAAAGAAUAAAGAUGAAAGAAAACAGAAAAUGAAACCUCUUUACUCGUUCUGUUCUUUAAAAACAGAGCCCCAAGACAAUCUGCUUGUGCUCCUAGAAGGAGCAAGGCCCAAGUAUUUACAGAGGGAGUGGGGAAGGAGGCGGUCUGAGAAGCAUAAUUAGAAGCAAGUUUUCAAAUUGUAUUAAAUUCCUCCACCAACAAAACGCACUUAGAGGUAUUUUAAAGUUAAACUAGCACUUAAGGACUAUGAAAAGCAAGAUGAUUACACGUCUGUGGCAGAAGAAAGAGCAAUUAAGAAAACAAGAACAAU
Long non-coding RNA from Papio anubis (olive baboon), 2835 nucleotides. The record is from Ensembl. Lineage: Eukaryota; Metazoa; Chordata; Mammalia; Primates; Cercopithecidae.